RNAcentral lists this long non-coding RNA (447 nucleotides) under Prunus dulcis (almond). RNAcentral's name for it is "sRNA ncRNA". The record is from RNAcentral. Lineage: Eukaryota; Viridiplantae; Streptophyta; Magnoliopsida; Rosales; Rosaceae.
UGAAACCCUCAAAAGAGAAACCAGAGAACCACUCAGAUAUACCCAGUCAAAUGAAGCUUCUUCAUAAAAAAAAACUGUUACCACCACGAGUGAAUCUAAAAGAAAGCAUGGUCCAACAGAAAUGCAUAAAAUUCAAAAGAAAAAAAAGAAGGGGAAAAAGUUAGUAGUUGAGUUUAGCCCAAAAAGAGAAGCAAUGGGGAAGGUGGGCAAACAAUAUGCAUCAUACACAGGUGUAAUGGCUUGAACCAUAAUCCCCAUUCAUUUAAGCAAUUGGGCAGCAGUGGAUGACCAUUUGAAGGAGAAAAUCUGGACAGAAAUAACGGUAAUUUUAAUUUAUGUAUAUUGAAUAACUCUUUUAUACUUAUUUUAAUCAUUUCUCAUAAGAUCAAGAUUCCUAUGAUUUUUGUCUUUGGGGCAUUUAUUUUGGCAUUCAAAUACUCAUGGCCA